GCAAAUGUGGUGUAGUGGUUUGAGUGCCAGACUAUGACUCUAGAGAGCAGGGUUUGAAUCCCUGCUCAACCA
Non-coding RNA from Phrynosoma platyrhinos (Desert horned lizard), 72 nucleotides. NCBI's taxonomy places the organism in Eukaryota, Metazoa, Chordata, Lepidosauria, Squamata, Phrynosomatidae. The record is from the annotation of a GenBank genome assembly.